Molecule: long non-coding RNA, 755 nt
Filed under: Marmota monax (woodchuck)
Lineage: Eukaryota; Metazoa; Chordata; Mammalia; Rodentia; Sciuridae
Source: RNAcentral
GUCAGUUUCACUAAAAGAAAAAAGGAAGGAAAAAAAGAGGUGGGGCAAGAUUUUAUCUAUUAUCUUAUCCCUUUAUUUUCUUAAAGAAAGUUCAGUUUGGUCAGUGGAUCUAUUUGGUUAUGUUAUUUAAAUGUUUUCUGUGAACUGUGAACUAGGGUGAGAGCAGACAUGUCGUCACAACCAGUCCAGGGGACAUGAGGGACGGCAUGCAGUUUGCAGUUGUGUUUUAUCUGAUCUUAUUGAUUAUCUCUAUAUCAGCUUCUUCAAUAAUAAACUGUCAGUUUAUCCUCUCUCCCCUCAGGAACAUUUUUAUAUUUUCCUUGUAUUAUAAAAUUAUACGUGUCUUUUCAUGUAACAGAAUGUUUGAGUUUUAGUUCCCUGAACAUUGUAAAAGUUGAAUUUCGUUUUGAACCGAGGAAUUUCUCAAAUAACUAUUCUGAGUCUCUCCUGAGGAUUUUCUAGCAGUUUGCCAUGUAAUAAUGCUGACAUUGUUGCUUAUUUGCUUGAUUUUGAAAUGAUACUUCAAUUGAAUUUACAUAAACCCUUGUUUUAAAAAGAGCAAAUGUUUUGGAGUGAUUUUUUUAAAGGAUAUGUGCACAACGAUUUUUAACUUUAAAAAUAUUCCUGUUCCCAUGUCUAAAUUCAGGAUAAUAUCUUUUCCAUCUUUGUUCUUAUUGGGAGUUAUCUCAUUAGAAAAAUGUGGCACUUAGGCCCAAAGCCUCCCAAGAACAAAAAUCUGUUACAGUAUGACAUAG